This 492-nucleotide ribosomal RNA is filed under the name uncultured bacterium. RNAcentral describes it as "partial 16S ribosomal RNA". It matches the Rfam family "Bacterial small subunit ribosomal RNA", at positions 29 to 507 of the family's 1533-position model. The record is from RNAcentral.
AGUGAACGCUGGCGGUAGGCCUAACACAUGCAAGUCGAACGGCAGCACAGUAAGAGCUUGCUCUUACGGGUGGCGAGUGGCGGACGGGUGAGGAAUACAUCGGAAUCUACUUUUUCGUGGGGGAUAACGUAGGGAAACUUACGCUAAUACCGCAUACGACCUACGGGUGAAAGCAGGGGAUCUUCGGACCUUGCGCGAUUGAAUGAGCCGAUGUCGGAUUAGCUAGUUGGCGGGGUAAAGGCCCACCAAGGCGACGAUCCGUAGCUGGUCUGAGAGGAUGAUCAGCCACACUGGAACUGAGACACGGUCCAGACUCCUACGGGAGGCAGCAGUGGGGAAUAUUGGACAAUGGGCGCAAGCCUGAUCCAGCCAUACCGCGUGGGUGAAGAAGGCCUUCGGGUUGUAAAGCCCCUUUGUUGGGAAAGAAAAGCAGCAGGUUAAUACCCCGCUGUUCUGACGGUACCCAAAGAAUAAGCACCGGCCAACUUCGUG